CUGCUGUAUAUGAUCUAGCCGUUGCCACCUCCCACCUGUGGCAGCUGGGGCAAUGGGCCAAGAGCAGAAUCUGGUGACAAAGUAGCCUUGGGUGGCUUGGUUGGCCACACACGCCACUGAAAGCACCUCUCCCAGGCAUCCAGUCGCCUCCAGUGCCUGCUGAAGCAAGAAAGCGCGCCAAAGGCCGACUCCAGCUGUGUCUGCAUCAUAAUUAAGGCUGCAAAACCCCAGAAUGAAUGAAGUCUCCCCAGCUAAUGUGCCACUUCUAAUUUAAUCUAAUUGGCCUCUGAAAGAGAGCCCUGGCCUGCCUCAGAGGCAAAAAUCUUCCAAAUGAAGUGAAUUUAAACUAAUUUAAGCUCACUAAUUACAAACUGGGGGGUUCUGUCACAAGAACAAUUGUUACUGUUCUUUGAUUACUUGCUCAACUGGAUUAUUUGCUCAUUACCUUUAGAGCUGCUGGGACUUUCAUGGGGUGCCCCUUGCCGCACAUCAAUAAGGCAGCCUGGAGUGGAGGGUCCCCACCCCAGAUGGGCAUGGAGCUCUGAGGAUUAGCUUGGCUUUCUGAGUGUUUGGAGAAUCUUAAAGCGAACGCACAGCAUGUGCUGCUCACUCAACCUGCAGCUAACUACACCUCUUUUUGGAGACAUAAGUUUUUCUUUCGCUUUGGGAUGUAGGUUUUGAGUUUUGACGUCGUCUGUUGAACCAACCUCUUUAUCGUUCAAUGGUUCUGACCUUGAGAUGCAGCCCGGUAUACCUGGGUAGAGAUCUGGAGCAAAAGUGGGGAGAAAAAAAAGACCUGUAGCCAAGCCUGUUUCUCAGCAGCUGCGUGAGGUGGCUGGCUGCCGCACCUCUCUGAGCCACAGGCAGAGAUCUGGUGGAAAAAGCAUGAAAUCUGCAGACCUUCAUGUUUGAGCUUCAGUUCCCUCCUCCCGGGCAUGUUAAAUUUAGCCUACAGCUGCCUCCUUACUCAUUUUAAGAGUAACAAAUGUUAUGUUACAUUUGGGACCUGUGUGGCUGAAGGUUUCCCUGCACAAAGGGAAUUGUCCCCUAACGGGAUGUGGAAGGGGCUGUAACCUACUCUUGUGGCAAGUAGCCGCACUUCAACCCCUCACAGGCGGCCGACGCUUCAGACUGUGUCCGAGUGCGGCCAACGCAGAACUGUAACCAGUCUGGCUGUUUCUCUGCCUCACUUUCCGUUCUCUGCCCGUAAAGCGUCUCUCGCCGCACAGCAGCACCAGACACGCUCUGAACCUGUUCUGUCAGGGGCUGCCCAAUUCCCAAAUCAUUCUUUGCUCAGUUAAACUCUGUUAACUGUAGUUUGCCUCAGUUUUCCUUUAUAACAGGCAGAAACGACCACCUCGCAGAACUGCUGUGAAGACCGAACGUGAUCACUCUGUGACAACAUUUCAUAAACUGUGUGUCGCUUGUGAAUGCUGUUAUUUUUCUCAUCUGUAAAAUAAAGGAAUUCAGCCAGGG
Molecule: long non-coding RNA, 1476 nt
Filed under: Macaca mulatta (Rhesus monkey)
Lineage: Eukaryota; Metazoa; Chordata; Mammalia; Primates; Cercopithecidae
Description: lncRNA (ENSMMUG00000060357.1)
Source: RNAcentral